AAAAAGGCAAACCCUAGGUUUCCGUGUCCAACUUUAACUGUCCGUCUUAUAUGAAAUUUUUUUUAUAAUUCGUAUUUUUAUUAUUGUUAGAUGAUAAAACAUUGAUUAAUAUUUUGUGCGUGACUUGUCUUUUUAAUUUUUUUCAUAAUUUUUUAAAUAAGACAGACGGUCAAACGUUGGAUACGGAAAUC
RNAcentral lists this microRNA precursor (191 nucleotides) under Oryza glumipatula. Its description in RNAcentral is "MIR812 microRNA precursor family". It matches the Rfam family "MIR812 microRNA precursor family". Lineage: Eukaryota; Viridiplantae; Streptophyta; Magnoliopsida; Poales; Poaceae. The record is from Rfam by way of RNAcentral.